GACGAACGCUGGCGGCGUGCUUAACACAUGCAAGUCGAACGGAAAGGCCCUGCUUUUGUGGGGUGCUCGAGUGGCGAACGGGUGAGUAACACGUGAGUAACCUGCCCUUGACUUUGGGAUAACUUCAGGAAACUGGGGCUAAUACCGGAUAGGAGCUCCUGCUGCAUGGUGGGGGUUGGAAAGUUUCGGCGGUUGGGGAUGGACUCGCGGCUUAUCAGCUUGUUGGUGGGGUAGUGGCUUACCAAGGCUUUGACGGGUAGCCGGCCUGAGAGGGUGACCGGCCACAUUGGGACUGAGAUACGGCGCAGACUCCUACGGGAGGCAGCAGUGGGGAAUAUUGCACAAUGGGCGGAAGCCUGAUGCAGCAACGCCGCGUGCGGGAUGACGGCCUUCGGGUUGUAAACCGCUUUCGCCUGUGACGAAGCGUGAGUGACGGUAAUGGGUAAAGAAUCACCGGCUAACUACGUG
Molecule: ribosomal RNA, 468 nt
Filed under: uncultured bacterium
Lineage: Bacteria
Description: partial 16S ribosomal RNA
Rfam family: Bacterial small subunit ribosomal RNA
Source: RNAcentral